UGUCAUCAUUUAUCGUUUUUUUACGAUUGGUUAUAAAUAGUGGAACGUUCAGCAGUACUCGGGUUUUACCGCUGCAUACUAUGAAAAGUCUGAGCAUGCGCACUUUCAACGCUUGAUUUUUAAAAACAGUGAUAACCAAACUUGCAGUGAAAUUUAGCUCGAUCCAGAUUCCAGAACAAAGAAAAAGAGUCUUGUAUAAAAAUCCACAGAUCCAAUGUGUCUGAGGUUGAAGAAUGCAUUGCAGUAACACUUAAGCAUGCACCAGCUCAUAAAGAUGGACCAAGAUAUAAAAAGAGACCUGAAACCAACACAAGACCAGCUGAUCAGAGGGUAGAAAACCAAAAUUUGGAAUGACAUGUAUACAACCAACACAAGACUAAAAUUUGGAAUAAAAAUAAAAAAAUUCAGAAACAUAUUAUUAUUUUUUUAUUGGUUCAUGAAGCCAAAAAAAAAGAAGUCUUAACUUUUGGAUAGGUCUAUCUCUAGUUGGUCAAUGGAAAAAAGCAAUAGUUAGUUUGAUUGUAUUUCAGGUAGUUUCU
Molecule: long non-coding RNA, 539 nt
Organism: Mytilus californianus (California mussel)
Lineage: Eukaryota; Metazoa; Mollusca; Bivalvia; Mytilida; Mytilidae
Exons: 3
Source: RefSeq, a predicted model, not a curated record